Molecule: long non-coding RNA, 3231 nt
Organism: Xenopus laevis (African clawed frog)
Lineage: Eukaryota; Metazoa; Chordata; Amphibia; Anura; Pipidae
Exons: 11
Source: RefSeq, a predicted model, not a curated record
GUAUAGUGUGUGUGUGUAUAGUGUGUGAGUGUAUAGUGUGUGAGUGUAUAGUGGUGUGUGUAUAGUGUGAGCAUAUUGUGUGAGUGUGUGUUUUGUGCCACUGUAGCUGCUCCAGUCAGGGCUCAGGGAAGUCCGUACGUGCCAAUAUGGGAAAGAACUGUAUAUACACGUGAGAGCCUAUAGAAUUCUAUGUUACAGCCCAUUAUGUAUUUUGUGUAUCUGCUCCCAGACAAGAGAGUGGAGCCUGGGUCGGCUGAUUCUCGGCCUGUGUAUAAUCCUCAGCCCCGUGUGGCACUUGUGUAAGAACAACACUUGCCCCCCUAUAGAAUUUCCCCUCAAACAGGGCUGAGAGCAAGUGCCCCAAUAUCAGUGUUUAAUAAAUCAGCAAGUGCUGGGUCUGUGUCUCCUGAUAACAUUGAGCUUCUCUGCCAGGCACCAGCCCCCCAUACUUUUUACUUUAACCCUGCUCACAUGAGGCUGUGUAUGAGACACAUUAUUGCUAUAUAUAUAUACUUAUUACUCAUCUUUAUGUUCAGAUCCUCUCCUUUCCAUAUUCCUGACCCGUAUUCAAAUCAAUCCAUGGUUGCUAGGGUAAUUUGGAUCCUAGCAACCAGAUUGCUGAAAUAGCUGAUAGUCUGGAGAGCUGCUAUCUGAGUAUGUUGUUAAUAUUAAGCUCAGCAUAUUUAUUCAAGUCUGCACCCACAUUAACCCAUGGACUUGCAAAUGGGAGAGGAGACACCCCUGCCUUGUGCCUCAGUUGAUUGAGAAGGAGGGAGACAGCUUAGAAUUUGGCUACUGGGAGGGUGUAAUAUGCCUUGAGCAAGUAAUAAAGGUGGGAGGGAUACCCAUCUGAUCUAUGGUAGUCUAUAAGUUCACCUACUCUACUGACUGGAAGGCUUUAUCAUUGUUGAGUGAAACCACAAUUCUGCUCUCUAGAUUAUCAUACAUGAUGGAUGUAUUAGUGAAAAGUCUUCUAAUGUUAAGUGUCUGUUGAUGUUCCGGACAUAAAGCCCUUGUGAUUGGGUGACAUUAUAUUCUGCCAACCACCAUAAUGUUUGUGUCAAUGUUAAUGAGUGAGAUUGGCGCAUAUGAGGAGCACUCUUUACCUAAGAACUAUUAGGGGCCUAUUUAUCAUGCUGUGUAAAAACCUCACCGGUGAUGUUGCCCACUGGAGAUGCUUGCUCUGCCAUUGUGGGAAGUAUUCCUUAAAUAUGAAUGUAUUUCACGUUCCAUGCUUCUUAGUUGCUCUCAAGUGCAUGUAAUUUUACUCUACCACUGUUUUUGCCUGCAAGCAGUAUACACAGGGCCACUAUUGAGGGGCACAGUCGUCCCGGGACCAGUGGAUUUCAACUUACAAGGUGGACCUGGUGAAGAGGAAUCUGGUGCUGUCACUGCCGCCCCCGGAGAAGAACAAAGAAGUCACCGGAGGGGGAUGCAGAAGACCAACCACCAAACUUUAGAAAUAAAGGAGUAUCACAGAAGGCGACCACUCCAGCACCAACGGGAAAAAAAGUCCAAAGAAUGUGAUCCUGAUAACCCCGCACAGCUUUCUCCAGAGCCAAGUCUGAAUCAAGAAACUGGAGGCCCAAUGGGACCAGAGGAGGGUUUUGGCAGCAAGAAGAGGCUGUAUGCAGUAUGCCCAUGUUUUUUACAUAUAGAUUUAUAAGUAACAGUUGAAGAGGUCUCACAUUGGAUGGUUAUUACAGAGGGGUGCACGCAGGAGCCAAGUUGCUGGACAUGUGAUCGUAUGUGAGCCAUAGCUUCCUUUAGAUCAUCCUGGAUUUCGUACCAUAGUGAGCCUGGAUUAUCUGAAGAAGGAAGAAAACAACUUUGCGGAGGCUGCAGUGGAGUAUGUAGAUCCGGACAUUGUGCGCUGAAGCCCAAAGCAUCUUGCGCCUGUGUCUUGUGGUAGAGAAUUGUAUAAUUAUCACAGGGCCACCAUCAUGGGGCACAGUCGUCCCGGGCCUAGAGGAUGUCAACUUACAAGGGGGCCUGGGGAAGAAGAAUCCGCUGCUGUCGUUGAUUCUGUUGCCGCUGGAGAAGGAGCCGCCGGAUAAGAAGCCACCGGAGGGGGGUGAAAAAGUAUCUGCUGCUGAAUUUUAGAGCCUGGAAUAUCUGGAAAAAGAAGUAUUUACUAACAACCUCACCACCCACUGCCCAGUUCAACACUACCAGCCGCUGACUGAUUGGACCUCACCACGGUGCUACUUCCUGUCUCCAUUCAGACCUCUGUGAUACACAGACCUGGGACAUGUCUAUACUUUUCUGGCUUUAUGUCUGUAUAUGCCAGUGGGUACAUGAGUAUACAGACUACAUUCAAUGAUGGGGAAUGGAGGGAGAUUCCCAGGAAUGACCAUUAGAAACAGAAUCUCCAACCAGUUAAUCCAGUGUGAGAAUUCUUGGUGGAGCAGCUGUACCCACAGGAGGACUGGCACGUGUCACUCACAGAUGGAGUAUCACAGAAGGCGACCACUCCAGCACCAACGGGAGGAAAGAAAAAGUCCAGAGAAUGACUGCGCAGCACAGUGCAAUAGUAAAAGCCUUUCCAGAAUUGUCAGCUGGGCAUUUGGAUUCAAACAGCGGGGCAUUUAUGAUGGCUAGCCGCAGAGGUCAGCGCACACUACGGCAUCAACUUGCACAGUUUCUGAAGUGAUUUCAGCGACAUAUAUGUUGCCCAGUAGCCUGACCUAACCUGAUUGCCAAUAAUAUAGUAUCUACAGGGGUGGACCAUGCACGGAGAGAGAUAACGCAGCAGAGACAGCACACUUUCUGGGUCAGUUAGCACAUUACCUUUAGCACAAUCCUCCGUGAUCUCUGCAAUGAAGAUGUCUCGAUCAACAUGCCUGCUCCGAUCAGCAUGUGGUUUCACGGGCAUCUGCGGAGCAAUCAAGGAUAUUUUCAGGCCGUCUGUUAGACUGAGAAUCACUGCAGACAGAUUUCCAGCAUGAGAUGCUCCAGCUACUGUUGAACUACAAAUCCCACAAUCCCUGGAUGUUGUUGGCAGAUAAGAAUCCCAGGCAGCAUAAAAGAAGAAGAUGAUUGGUUGAAGAAUGGGAUGGUAUAUUCCUCAGUGGAAGAAUAUCUGCAGAGAAGUCGGAGGAAGCAAGAGAAAUGGGGGGACUGAGAGGUUUCGGGUGUUUAAUAAAAAGUACAAGUAAAAUGUGUUGCUAAUAUGGCGCUGCUUCAAUUCUAUGUGAAGAAUGAAUAGAAUAAAGGAAUGUUUCUCCUGUG